Molecule: transfer RNA, 74 nt
Filed under: Phycisphaerae bacterium
Lineage: Bacteria; Pseudomonadati; Planctomycetota; Phycisphaerae
Description: tRNA-Ala
Rfam family: tRNA
About the family: Transfer RNA (tRNA) molecules are approximately 80 nucleotides in length. Their secondary structure includes four short double-helical elements and three loops (D, anti-codon, and T loops).
Source: RNAcentral
GGGCCUGUAGCUCAUUUGGUAGAGCGCUUCCAUGGCAUGGAAGAGGCGGUCGGUUCGAUCCCGAUCAGGUCCAC